RNAcentral lists this ribosomal RNA (253 nucleotides) under uncultured bacterium. RNAcentral's name for it is "partial 16S ribosomal RNA". It matches the Rfam family "Bacterial small subunit ribosomal RNA", at positions 524 to 776 of the family's 1533-position model. The record is from RNAcentral.
UACGUAGGUGGCAAGCGUUGUCCGGAAUUAUUGGGCGUAAAGCGCGCGCAGGCGGUCCUUUAAGUCUGAUGUGAAAGCCCACGGCUCAACCGUGGAGGGUCAUUGGAAACUGGGGGACUUGAGUGCAGAAGAGGAAAGCGGAAUUCCAGGUGUAGCGGUGAAAUGCGUAGAUAUCUGGAGGAACACCGGUGGCGAAGGCGGCAUCCUGGACCAACACUGACACUGAGGAGCGAAAGCCAGGGGAGCAAACGGG